GGGCCCGUAGCCUAGCAAGGAUAGGGCGCUGGCCUCCGGAGCCAGUAUGCCUGGGUUCGAAUCCCAGCGGGCCCGCCA
Molecule: transfer RNA, 78 nt
Filed under: Nitrososphaerota archaeon
Lineage: Archaea; Thermoproteati; Nitrososphaerota
Also listed under: 2 other names
Description: tRNA-Arg
Rfam family: tRNA
About the family: Transfer RNA (tRNA) molecules are approximately 80 nucleotides in length.
Source: RNAcentral